Molecule: ribosomal RNA, 468 nt
Filed under: uncultured bacterium
Lineage: Bacteria
Description: partial 16S ribosomal RNA
Rfam family: Bacterial small subunit ribosomal RNA
Source: RNAcentral
GACGAACGCUGGCGGCGUGCUUAACACAUGCAAGUCGAACGGAAAGGCCCUGCUUUUGUGGGGUGCUCGAGUGGCGAACGGGUGAGUAACACGUGAGUAACCUGCCCUUGACUUUGGGAUAACUUCAGGAAACUGGGGCUAAUACCGGAUAGGAGCUCCUGCUUCAGUGGGGGGGUUGGAAAGUUUCGGCGGUUGGGGAUGGACUCGCGGCUUAUCAGCUUGUUGGUGGGGUAGUGGGUUACCAAGGCUUUGACGGGUAGCCGGCCUGAUAGGGUGACCGGCCACGUUGGGACUGAGAUGCGGCCCAGACUCCUGCGGGAGGCAGCAGUGGGGAAUAUUGCACAAUGGGCGGGAGCCGGAUGCAGCAACGCCGCGUGCGUGAUGACGGCCUUCGGGUUGUAAACCGCUUUCGCCUGUGACGAAGCGUGAGUGACGGUAAUGGGUAAAGAAGCGCCGGCUAACUACGUG